This 207-nucleotide ribosomal RNA is filed under the name uncultured bacterium. RNAcentral describes it as "partial 16S ribosomal RNA". It matches the Rfam family "Bacterial small subunit ribosomal RNA", at positions 568 to 774 of the family's 1533-position model. The record is from RNAcentral.
CGCGUAGGCGGUUUCCUAAGUCAGGUGUGAAAGCCCGGGGCUUAACCCCGGAAGUGCAUUUGAAACUGGGUGACUUGAGUAUGGGAGAGGGAAGUGGAAUUCCUGGUGUAGCGGUGAAAUGCGUAGAUAUCAGGAGGAACACCAGUGGCGAAGGCGGCUUCCUGGACCAAUACUGACGCUGAGGCGCGAAGGCGUGGGUAGCAAACA